CAAUAGCGUAUAUUAAAGUUGUUGCGGUUAAAAAGCUCGUAGUUGGAUUUCUGCUGAGAACGACCGGUCCGCCCUUUGGGUGUGUAUCUGGCUCUUUCUUGGCAUCUUCUUGGUGAACGUUGCUGCACUUGACUGUGUGGAGCGCUACCCAGGACUUUUACUUUGAGGAAAUUAGAGUGUUUCAAGCAGGCAUACGCCUUGAAUACAUUAGCAUGGAAUAAUAAGAUAGGACCUCGGUUCUAUUUUGUUGGUUUCUAGAGCUGAGGUAAUGAUUAAUAGGGAUAGUUGGGGGCAUUCGUAUUUAACUGUCAGAGGUGAAAUUCUUGGAUUUGUUGAAGACGGACUACUGCGAAAGCAUUUGCCAAGGAUGUUUUCAUUGA
Molecule: ribosomal RNA, 380 nt
Filed under: uncultured eukaryote
Lineage: Eukaryota
Description: partial 18S ribosomal RNA
Rfam family: Eukaryotic small subunit ribosomal RNA
Source: RNAcentral